RNAcentral lists this ribosomal RNA (433 nucleotides) under uncultured bacterium. Its description in RNAcentral is "partial 16S ribosomal RNA". It matches the Rfam family "Bacterial small subunit ribosomal RNA", at positions 29 to 507 of the family's 1533-position model. The record is from RNAcentral.
AACGAACGCUGGCGGCAUGCCUAACACAUGCAAGUCGAACGAGACCUUCGGGUCUAGUGGCGCACGGGUGCGUAACGUGUGGGAACCUGCCCUUAGGUUCGGAAUAACUCCCCGAAAGGGGUGCUAAUACCGGAUAAUGUCUUCGGACCAAAGAUUUAUCGCCUUUGGAUGGGCCCGCGUUGGAUUAGCUAGUUGGUAGGGUAAAAGCCUACCAAGGCGACGAUCCAUAGCUGGUCUGAGAGGAUGAUCAGCCACACUGGGACUGAGACACGGCCCAGACUCCUACGGGAAGCAGCAGUGGGGAAUAUUGGACAAUGGGCGAAAGCCUGAUCCAGCAAUGCCGCGUGAGUGAUGAAGGCCUUAGGGUUGUAAAGCUCUUUUACCCGGGAUGAUAAUGACAGUACCGGGAGAAUAAGCUCCGGCUAACUCCGUG